This 1030-nucleotide long non-coding RNA is filed under the name Olea europaea subsp. europaea. The record is from RNAcentral. Lineage: Eukaryota; Viridiplantae; Streptophyta; Magnoliopsida; Lamiales; Oleaceae.
GUAGUGAUUGUUCAAUUUCUUCAUUUCUUAAAGGGGUAAAGAAGUAAAUGUUUUGUAAUAUAAUGUAUAUUAAAUUUUCUAGGGUUCUAAAUGGUUGGUUUAAUUUCAGAUUUAAGGAAAGAGUAUGAUUUCAAGUUAAUAUUUUUGAUUUGUGAAAGAUUUUGGUAUCAAGGUAAGUUAUUCCAUUUUUUGUAAACCUUAGAAAUUUUAAAUAGAUUCUUGAGUAAAGAUAGUUUGGGAAAUUAUAGUGAUGACGAAAUGUUUACUUGAAAGUAGGAUUUUAUGGAAUAAGGUGUAAAAUUAAAUUGGUUAAAUUAUGAUUAUUAGUUUUACUAGUUUGGAAGAAGGAAUUAUUUUUAUGUUUGGAGUGAAGAUUAUUGUGAUGAAUUAACUAUUAAGAAAUGGACUAGAAAGUGGAAUUAGCUUGAAGUGAUUGGAGGAAAUUGGGGAAAAUUAUUCUAGUAUUGAGAAGUCAACUUUUAGUAUUCGAUUACUAAUAUUAAGAGAUACUUAUUAUGUGAGUCGUUAAAUUAGUUAUUUUAUAUCGUAUUUCAGGUGGUGAUGUGAAAGUUGGGCAAUGUUAGUAAAUUUAAUCAUAUUGCAAUCCAUAAAUCUGUGAGUGGAGAACCUACUUUUUUCAAAAAGAAGAUUUACUUUUUAUUUUAUAGAAGCAUAAUAAUUAUAUGAAAUAUCUUAUUUUUGAGAAAUUAGUAAAUGAGCACGAUUAUUUUGAAAUCAUCAGAAAAUAACAAAUGUAAUUAUUUUAAUCUUGUACACUGAAGAGUUACAACCGUGUAUUAGAGUCGUGUAUUUAACUCCGAUACACUGAGGGGCUAUGACCAUGUAUAAGGACGAUUAUGUUGUUUAUAUCUUGUACACUGAGGGGCUACGGUCUUGUUCUAGAGUCAUGUAUUCCUAUACAUUGAGGGGCUAUGGCCAUGUAUAAGAACGAUUAUGUUGUUUACAUCUUGUACACUGAGGGGCUACGAUCGUGUACUAGAGACAUGUAUUUAACUCCUAUAUAUCGAGG